GAUGAAAAACGCAGCGAAAUGCGAUAAGUAGUGUGAAUUGCAGAAUUCAGUGAAUCAUCGAAUCUUUGAACGCACAUUGCGCCCCUUGGUAUUCCAUGGGGCAUGCCUGUUCGAGCGUCAUUUGUACCCUCAAGCUUUGCUUGGUGUUGGGCGUCUUGUCGUAUUACGACUCGCCUUAAAUACAUUGGCAGCCGGCACUUUGGCCUAGGAGCGCAGCACAUUUUGCGAUCGUAGCCCGUUGUACUGGCGUCCAUCAAGAACAUUUACCACGUUUGACCUCGGAUCAGGUAGGGAUACCCGCUGAACUUAAGCAUAUCAAUAAGCGGAGGA
Molecule: unclassified non-coding RNA, 330 nt
Filed under: soil metagenome
Description: partial contains 5.8S ribosomal RNA, internal transcribed spacer 2, and large subunit ribosomal RNA
Rfam family: 5.8S ribosomal RNA (bases 1-120)
Source: RNAcentral